AAAAAAAUUUUUUAACUCGUUUAUGCCUAGUGUUCCAUUUUUUUAACGCUAAGCAUGUGGAAGUGAUUUAUAUCCUGCUCAAGGUCAUCGCCAAGGUCUGAUUG
Sapajus apella (tufted capuchin) is the source of this 104-nucleotide long non-coding RNA. RefSeq lists it as uncharacterized. Lineage: Eukaryota; Metazoa; Chordata; Mammalia; Primates; Cebidae. The record is from RefSeq and is a predicted model, not a curated record. The transcript is spliced from 3 exons.